GCGGGCGUGGCGGAAUUGGUAGACGCGCCGGAUUUAGGAUCCGGUGAGCAUGCUCAUGGAGGUUCGAGUCCUCUCGCCCGCACCA
This 85-nucleotide transfer RNA is filed under the name Parvibaculum sp. Its description in RNAcentral is "tRNA-Leu". It matches the Rfam family "tRNA". Rfam says of the family: Transfer RNA (tRNA) molecules are approximately 80 nucleotides in length. The record is from RNAcentral. RNAcentral also lists the same sequence under 1 other name. Lineage: Bacteria; Pseudomonadati; Pseudomonadota; Alphaproteobacteria; Hyphomicrobiales; Parvibaculaceae.